GAGUUUGAUCGUGGCUCAGAUUGAACGCUGGCGGCAUGCCUUACACAUGCAAGUCGAACGGCAGCACGGGAGCUUGCUCCUGGUGGCGAGUGGCGAACGGGUGAGUAAUGCAUCGGAACGUAUCCUGGAGUGGGGGAUAACGUAGCGAAAGUUACGCUAAUACCGCAUAUUCUGUGAGCAGGAAAGCGGGGGACCUUCGGGCCUCGCGCUCUUGGAGCGGCCGAUGUCGGAUUAGCUAGUUGGUGAGGUAAAGGCUCACCAAGGCGACGAUCCGUAGCAGGUCUGAGAGGAUGAUCUGCCACACUGGAACUGAGACACGGUCCAGACUCCUACGGGAGGCAGCAGUGGGGAAUUUUGGACAAUGGGGGCAACCCUGAUCCAGCCAUGCCGCGUGAGUGAAGAAGGCCUUCGGUUGUAAG
Molecule: ribosomal RNA, 419 nt
Filed under: bacterium enrichment culture clone ALO1_GLFRUDD03F7QYK
Lineage: Bacteria
Description: bacterial SSU rRNA
Rfam family: Bacterial small subunit ribosomal RNA
Source: RNAcentral